RNAcentral lists this unclassified non-coding RNA (279 nucleotides) under uncultured fungus. Its description in RNAcentral is "partial contains 5.8S ribosomal RNA, internal transcribed spacer 2, and large subunit ribosomal RNA". The record is from RNAcentral. RNAcentral also lists the same sequence under 1 other name. Lineage: Eukaryota; Fungi.
AACGCACCUUGCGCCCUUUGGUAUUCCGAAGAGCAUGCCUGUUUGAGUGUCAUUAAAUUCUCAAACCAACAAUCUUUAUUGAUUUGUUGGCUUUGGACUCUGAGGGUCUGCUGAUGAAAGUCGGCUCCCUUUAAAUGUAUUAGCUGGCAUUGACUGCCAGACUAUGGUGUGAUAAUUAUCUACGCUAUUGGUCUGACAUGUUGGCUGCUUCUAACCGUCUUUCGGGACAACUUAUGACAAUUUGACCUCAAAUCAGGUAGGACUACCCGCUGAACUUAA